RNAcentral lists this unclassified non-coding RNA (358 nucleotides) under soil metagenome. Its description in RNAcentral is "partial contains 5.8S ribosomal RNA, internal transcribed spacer 2, and large subunit ribosomal RNA". The stretch from base 2 to 120 matches the Rfam family "5.8S ribosomal RNA", at positions 36 to 154 of the family's 154-position model. The record is from RNAcentral.
UAUGAAGAACGUAGCGAAAUGCGAUAAGUAAUGUGAAUUGCAGAAUUCAGUGAAUCAUCGAAUCUUUGAACGCACAUUGCGCCCGCCAGUAUUCUGGCGGGCAUGCCUGUCCGAGCGUCAUUUCAACCCUCGAACCCCUCCGGGGGGUCGGCGUUGGGGACCUCGGGAGCCCCUAAGACGGGAUCCCGGCCCCGAAAUACAGUGGCGGUCUCGCCGCAGCCUCUCCUGCGCAGUAGUUUGCACAACUCGCACCGGGAGCGCGGCGCGUCCACGUCCGUAAAACACCCAACUUCUGAAAUGUUGACCUCGGAUCAGGUAGGAAUACCCGCUGAACUUAAGCAUAUCAAUAAGCGGAGGA